RNAcentral lists this long non-coding RNA (596 nucleotides) under Gallus gallus (chicken). Its description in RNAcentral is "long non-coding RNA NONGGAT009325". Lineage: Eukaryota; Metazoa; Chordata; Aves; Galliformes; Phasianidae. The record is from RNAcentral.
GUGGUGGCAGGUUCCAAAGAAGAUGCAACAAUGAUCUCCAGAGAUUCCCUCCCAACCUCUAUGACUCCAUAACAACAGCCAGCUGGGACGCAGCCUCUGAUGUGAUCGCAACCUGACUCACCCUGGCUGCCUGCUGGAGCACUGAAGUUGCCCACAAUCAAGAUCAUCAGGAGCAGUUUCCAAGGAGACUACCUCCUUGUGGGUUGAAUCUUCAGCAGGUGCAUAUUAGCUCAUUUCCAGCGAAGUCUGCAGGCAGAAAAUCAACUCUGCUCUUGCCUGACCUUCUCACCUGCUUCCUGUUUUAUCCUCUCAUGGAUGCAACUUUCCCCGUAGGAAAAAGAGAUGGAAAUACACAAGAUCUUGGAUAUGUAAAUAACUUUUCCUGACUUUACCUGACACAUUUCAAAUUUGGCUCUGUGCAAUUCAAUACAGUGUCACACUUGGUGCGUGCCAGCUUUGCAUCUGAAGUUAAAGAGCCAGGGAACUGCACCAGAUCAGACCUCCGAGGAAGAAGCUUUUGCAGGAAUCCAUGACCACACAGAAGGAAAACGGAGACAGCAACCUUGUCUCCCAAAGGUACCUGUGAAAACUCCCAA